CAUGUGACACCCAGCGCUCCUAUGCAGAGCGGGAGGCUCUCCCCCUCCUUGUGUACUGUGCGUGAGGCUCCAUAAAGGAACCGCAUGCUGCCUGAGGUGGCAGGCUGAGUCUGACAAGUGAUUUUGGUGCCCCUUGACAGGUGCUCCUGAUUGGCUGGCCCACAAGGAAGGUCCUUGUGGGCCGCGAGUUUGACAUGCUUGAUGCAUUGUAUAAAUAUCAGUGUGUGUGUAAAAAAUAAAAUGCAAUCACUAGGUGGCGCUCCAGUGACACACAAGCAGAGCUGCACAUGAGGUGAAAUAGAACGCUCCACAAAAAUGAUCCUAUCGAUCUAAAUCGGGGGUGUCAAACUAAUUUGUUCUGGGGGGCCAAAUUGUUCAC
Pelobates cultripes (western spadefoot toad) is the source of this 379-nucleotide non-coding RNA. NCBI's taxonomy places the organism in Eukaryota, Metazoa, Chordata, Amphibia, Anura, Pelobatidae. The record is from the annotation of a GenBank genome assembly.